Molecule: ribosomal RNA, 253 nt
Filed under: uncultured bacterium
Lineage: Bacteria
Description: partial 16S ribosomal RNA
Rfam family: Bacterial small subunit ribosomal RNA
Source: RNAcentral
UCCGUAGGGUCCGAGCGUUGUCCGGAAUUACUGGGCGUAAAGCGCUCGUAGGUGGUUUGUCGCGUUGUCCGUGAAAACUCACAGCUCAACUGUGGGCGUGCGGGCGAUACGGGCAGGCUGGAGUACUGCAGGGGAGACUGGAAUUCCUGGUGUAGCGGUGGAAUGCGCAGAUAUCAGGAGGAACACCGGUGGCGAAGGCGGGUCUCUGGGCAGUAACUGACGCUGAGGAGCGAAAGCGUGGGGAGCGAACAGG